AAUCAUAUCCAAAGAGCAAUUUCUGCUGGUCGAUGACCGGAAGUUGUUCUGUUGAAGAAUUGUCGUCGUUGCAAAUCAUUACACCUUUUACAUCACGGCAAACAUAUCGUGGUGGAACUUUAGUCAUCAUUGGCUUCACUGCCUGCUCCUGAAUCGAAGGUUCCGCGGGAGAACUUGCUAUCGUUGUUGCUUUUGCUGCCAUGGUUUUUGACUAAUUACCCUUCUUUCUUCUCCAAACUCUUGUGAUUAAACAAGACUACACAGGGUUCUCAAUUAUUCAAGUAGAGUCAUUAGAAAAAUAUUGCUUUAAAUAGUAAAGAAGAUAUUUUAUACAUUAAUUGAUCAAAUAGAUAACUAAAUACCUACGACUUGGAAAAGGGACCAACUCCUUGACCGGAGUGAAGUAGUGGUAUUCAUGAAUUAAAUUUUAUGGAUUG
This 437-nucleotide long non-coding RNA is filed under the name Citrus x clementina. RNAcentral's name for it is "Citrus clementina (C. clementina) long non-coding RNA (CCLE_LNC002894)". The record is from RNAcentral. Lineage: Eukaryota; Viridiplantae; Streptophyta; Magnoliopsida; Sapindales; Rutaceae.